GACGGAGGGUGCUAGCGUUGUUCGGAAUGACUGGGCGUAAAGGGCGCGUAGGCGGCCGCUUGCGUCGGAUGUGAAAGCCCGGGGCUCAACCCCGGAACGGCAUCCGAUACGGGGCGGCUCGAGACCGAGAGAGGUGAGUGGAAUACCCAGUGUAGAGGUGAAAUUCGUAGAUAUUGGGUGGAACACCGGUGGCGAAAGCGGCUCACUGGCUCGGUUCUGACGCUGAGGCGCGAAAGCGUGGGGAGCAGACAGG
Molecule: ribosomal RNA, 253 nt
Filed under: uncultured bacterium
Lineage: Bacteria
Description: partial 16S ribosomal RNA
Rfam family: Bacterial small subunit ribosomal RNA
Source: RNAcentral